GGAUGGUUGGCAGAGCAGUAAUGCCCUGGUCCCGAAAACCGAGUGAGCCUCCGGGCUGCGUGGGUGCAAUCCCUACACCAUCCGCCA
Molecule: transfer RNA, 87 nt
Filed under: Verrucomicrobiota bacterium
Lineage: Bacteria; Pseudomonadati; Verrucomicrobiota
Description: Verrucomicrobia bacterium (drinking water metagenome) tRNA-Ser
Rfam family: tRNA
About the family: Transfer RNA (tRNA) molecules are approximately 80 nucleotides in length. Their secondary structure includes four short double-helical elements and three loops (D, anti-codon, and T loops).
Source: RNAcentral